UUGCCCAGACAACUAGGAUGUUGGCUUAGAAGCAGCCAUCAUUUAAAGAGUGCGUAAUAGCUCACUAGUCGAGUGACACUGCGCCGAAAAUGUACCGGGGCUAAACAUAUUACCGAAGCUGUGGAUUGUCCUUUGGACAAUGGUAGGAGAGCGUUCUAAGGGCGUUGAAGCAUGAUCGUAAGGACAUGUGGAGCGCUUAGAAGUGAGAAUGCCGGUGUGAGUAGCGAAAGACGGGUGAGAAUCCCGUCCACCGAUUGACUAAGGUUUCCAGAGGAAGGCUCGUCCGCUCUGGGUUAGUCGGGUCCUAAGCUGAGGCCGACAGGCGUAGGCGAUGGAUAACAGGUUGAUAUUCCUGUACCACCUAUAAUCGUUUUAAUCGAUGGGGGGACGCAGUAGGAUAGGCGAAGCGUGCGAUUGGAUUGCACGUCUAAGCAGUAAGGCUGAGUAUUAGGCAAAUCCGGUACUCGUUGAGGCUGAGCUGUGAUGGGGAGAAGACAUUGUGUCUUCGAGUCGUUGAUUUCACACUGCCGAGAAAAGCCUCUAGAUAGAAAAUAGGUGCCCGUACCGCAAACCGACACAGGUAGUCAAGAUGAGAAUUCUAAGGUGAGCGAGCGAACUCUCGUUAAGGAACUCGGCAAAAUGACCCCGUAACUUCGGGAGAAGGGGUGCUCUUUAGGGUUAACGCCCAGAAGAGCCGCAGUGAAUAGGCCCAAGCGACUGUUUAUCAAAAACACAGGUCUCUGCUAAACCGUAAGGUGAUGUAUAGGGGCUGACGCCUGCCCGGUGCUGGAAGGUUAAGAGGAGUGGUUAGCUUCUGCGAAGCUACGAAUCGAAGCCCCAGUAAACGGCGGCCGUAACUAUAACGGUCCUAAGGUAGCGAAAUUCCUUGUCGGGUAAGUUCCGACCCGCACGAAAGGCGUAACGAUUUGGGCACUGUCUCAACGAGAGACUCGGUGAAAUCAUAGUACCUGUGAAGAUGCAGGUUACCCGCGACAGGACGGAAAGACCCCGUGGAGCUUUACUGUAGCCUGAUAUUGAAAUUCGGCACAGCUUGUACAGGAUAGGUAGGAGCCUUUGAAACGUGAGCGCUAGCUUACGUGGAGGCGCUGGUGGGAUACUACCCUAGCUGUGUUGGCUUUCUAACCCGCACCACUUAUCGUGGUGGGAGACAGUGUCAGGCGGGCAGUUUGACUGGGGCGGUCGCCUCCUAAAAGGUAACGGAGGCGCUCAAAGGUUCCCUCAGAAUGGUUGGAAAUCAUUCAUAGAGUGUAAAGGCAUAAGGGAGCUUGACUGCGAGACCUACAAGUCGAGCAGGGUCGAAAGACGGACUUAGUGAUCCGGUGGUUCCGCAUGGAAGGGCCAUCGCUCAACGGAUAAAAGCUACCCCGGGGAUAACAGGCUUAUCUACCCCAAGAGUUCACAUCGACGGGGAGGUUUGGCACCUCGAUGUCGGCUCAUCGCAUCCUGGGGCUGUAGUCGGUCCCAAGGGUUGGGCUGUUCGCCCAUUAAAGCGGUACGCGAGCUGGGUUCAGAACGUCGUGAGACAGUUCGGUCCCUAUCCGUCGUGGGCGUAGGAAAUUUGAGAGGAGCUGUCCUUAGUACGAGAGGACCGGGAUGGACAUACCUCUGGUGUACCAGUUGUCGUGCCAACGGCAUAGCUGGGUAGCUAUGUGUGGAUGGGAUAAGUGCUGAAAGCAUCUAAGCAUGAAGCCCCCCUCAAGAUGAGAUUUCCCAACUUCGGUUAUAAGAUCCCUCAAAGAUGAUGAGGUUAAUAGGUUCGAGGUGGAAGCAUGGUGACAUGUGGAGCUGACGAAUACUAAUCGAUCGAAGACUUAAUCAA
This 1840-nucleotide ribosomal RNA is filed under the name Staphylococcus aureus VET0363R. RNAcentral's name for it is "bacterial LSU rRNA". It matches the Rfam family "Bacterial large subunit ribosomal RNA", at positions 1081 to 2925 of the family's 2925-position model. The record is from RNAcentral. Lineage: Bacteria; Bacillati; Bacillota; Bacilli; Caryophanales; Staphylococcaceae.